RNAcentral lists this long non-coding RNA (224 nucleotides) under Elaeis guineensis (African oil palm). RNAcentral's name for it is "long non-coding RNA (EGUI_LNC056827)". The record is from RNAcentral. Lineage: Eukaryota; Viridiplantae; Streptophyta; Magnoliopsida; Arecales; Arecaceae.
CAAGGAGUGUGGAGACACUGUUAUGGCAUGCAGAUGGAAUGUAUAAGUACAUUCGCAUCGAAUGUGACUAUGUGCCGAGCAUUCUGCUGUCAAGAGUAGCUUGUGAAGGGUAUGGAUAUAAGUGUCCCUCUGAUCUGAGACCACCACGAUGAUUUGUAAGCAACUCACUGUACUUUAGUAUGGGACUAUCUAAAUUUCUAACUUAAUGAUAGAAGGAUACUAGA